GUAUUGGUGGUUCAGCAGUAGAAUUCUUGCCUUCCACACAGGACAGCCAGGUUGGAUUCCCAGCCAAUGCA
This 71-nucleotide transfer RNA is filed under the name Loxodonta africana (African savanna elephant). It matches the Rfam family "tRNA". Rfam says of the family: Transfer RNA (tRNA) molecules are approximately 80 nucleotides in length. Their secondary structure includes four short double-helical elements and three loops (D, anti-codon, and T loops). The record is from Rfam by way of RNAcentral. Lineage: Eukaryota; Metazoa; Chordata; Mammalia; Proboscidea; Elephantidae.